CAGCAGCCGCGGGAAUACAGAGGAUGCAAGCGUUAAUCGGAAUUACUGGGCGUAAAGCGUGCGCAGGCGGUUUGUUAAGACAGAUGUGAAAUCCCCGGGCUCAACCUGGGAACUGCAUUUGUGACUGGCAAGCUAGAGUAUGGCAGAGGGGGGUGGAAUUCCGCGUGUAGCAGUGAAAUGCGUAGAUAUGCGGAGGAACACCGAUGGCGAAGGCAGCCCCCUGGGCCAAUACUGACGCUCAUGCACGAAAGCGUGGGGAGCAAACAGGAUUAGAUACCCCGGUAGUCCCUGUCUCUUAUAC
Molecule: ribosomal RNA, 301 nt
Filed under: uncultured bacterium
Lineage: Bacteria
Description: partial 16S ribosomal RNA
Rfam family: Bacterial small subunit ribosomal RNA
Source: RNAcentral